Molecule: non-coding RNA, 233 nt
Organism: Pelobates cultripes (western spadefoot toad)
Lineage: Eukaryota; Metazoa; Chordata; Amphibia; Anura; Pelobatidae
Source: the annotation of a GenBank genome assembly
CAUACUAUUUGCAAAAGUGCACAACCCAAGGUAUUGCAAGUGGGGUAUGUCCAGUCUUUUUUAGAAGUCACUUAAUGACAAACACUGGCCAAAGUUAGCGUUUAUAUUUGUUUUUGUGUGAAAAAAACCAAAAAAAAAAUAUUUGGCCAGUGUUUGUGACUACGUGACUACUAAAAUUACAGGACAUACACCAUUUGCAAAACCUUGGGUUGUCUACGUUUGCAAAUGGUAUG